GCUGAAACCAAAGAAGAGUUUCAAAAAAUGCUCGUUCAUUCUUCUCCGAACAUCAACCAUGGACGUGUAGCUCCAUUCGUCUACGUGCACCUUCGUCGCAUCCGCUCCACGCACACUCCACCGCAGACUCGAUCUUACGCCCAAACUCGGCUUCAGAUCAAGAUCAACAUCGAAGUGGAGUUUGCAAUCAAGGUUACAUGCGAAAUAGCGAUAGCCGAAGAACUUACGGGAAUACAUGGCCGCCGGUCUUGCUUGCGUGGUUGAAGAUGAAGAGUGAAGAUGCCGAUUAUCUCGUGCGCAAACGCAAGGUGAAUUGGAUCGCGAUUGGGGCUGAAGCAACCAGCAUAGUCGCAGGAGGACGAUUGAAACGCUGGUAAUGUUAGCGGCGGUGGAUUUCAGGGAUACGAUGAUGAUUGGAGGAGGGUGAAUUAUGCACUAUGUGGAUUGAGGAGAGAAUGAGAGAAACUGCACCUUCCAAUACCCCCUCGAAUGGAUCUGUAAUGAGGUUGAGUAUAAUUGGAGAUUGUCGCAGUAAUUAGAACGCUGCGGUAAGCCAUUGACGCUAGAGCCACAUAUCUGCAACUGCCCCUUGGUGUGCCGUGAAAGCUCUCUGUUUAUAUCAUCUUCCGAAGCCACUUCAAGUGCAUUCUCAAAUCAGUGACAACAUCCUGUAGCAGGCUGACCUCUUCGAUAAAAAUCCUUAAUGCUCUCUGCAUCAAAUGCCAAAACCUUCUAUCAUACUGCUUUGGAUUGAAGAGUUUGGUCAUGAAAUGUGUGGUUGGCCCUUGGUGUGCUAAUGGUUGUAAUUUGGUUGUAAUGGAAUUUAAGUCAUGGAUUUGAUUAUGUAUUGUAUAUGGAAACAAUGGUUGAAUAUUGAUUGUGUUGUAAUUGGAUUGAAAUUGUACUUAUAAAUGGAAUGUGAAAUUGGUAAUUUGAAUGAAA
Molecule: long non-coding RNA, 942 nt
Organism: Lathyrus oleraceus (garden pea)
Lineage: Eukaryota; Viridiplantae; Streptophyta; Magnoliopsida; Fabales; Fabaceae
Exons: 3
Source: RefSeq, a predicted model, not a curated record